Molecule: Y RNA, 113 nt
Organism: Callithrix jacchus (white-tufted-ear marmoset)
Lineage: Eukaryota; Metazoa; Chordata; Mammalia; Primates; Cebidae
Rfam family: Y RNA
About the family: Y RNAs are components of the Ro ribonucleoprotein particle (Ro RNP), in association with Ro60 and La proteins. The Y RNAs and Ro60 and La proteins are well conserved, but the function of the Ro RNP is not known. In humans the RNA component can be one of four small RNAs -- hY1, hY3, hY4 and hY5.
Source: Ensembl
AGCUAGUGUGAAAGUAGUGAGUUAUCGAAAUUGAUUUUUCAUAAUCAGUUAUUGAUUGAGCUCCUUGUUCUACCCUUUCCCCUCCUGUCACUACUGCACUUCACUAGUGUAAA